UGGAUGCGGUUUUCACCCUUAAAUGUUGAGUGUAAGCUAUAGAGCUGUAAUAACCAAAAUAACUGUGAUAAUAUCAGCUUUCUUGUUUUACCGAGUGUAUUGAAUAUUUCAGAAAAAUUAAUUACAAAUCACUUUAUUCUAAUUGGAAAUGUGAAAAUUUAGACUUUGGGAAAAAACCCACAAAACUUAGUUUAACCCUUUGGUUUCCACUUCAUUGUUUUGACUCUGUAUUAUAAUAAAUAUUGAAAAUAGAUCCUGGACAGCAGAACCAUAUACAUUAAUGUAAGGCCUGUCUAAUACCAAGGGCUAUCAUUAGACUCUUCGUAUCUUAGCUUCUGUUUCAGGAAGUGUUAUAUUGUUAAGACUGGACGUUGGUAUGGGCCUGAAUCAUUUACUUGUAU
Molecule: long non-coding RNA, 401 nt
Filed under: Bos taurus (domestic cattle)
Lineage: Eukaryota; Metazoa; Chordata; Mammalia; Artiodactyla; Bovidae
Description: long non-coding RNA NONBTAT004878
Source: RNAcentral